UACUGGAGGACAGGUGGCUGCAUGGCGUGUCGUCAGCUCGUGUCGUGAGAUGUUGGGUUAAGUCCCGCAACGAGCGCAACCCUUGCCUUUAGUUGCCAGCAGUUCGGCUGGGCACUCUAAAGGGACUGCCGGUGUUAAACCGGAGGAAGGUGGGGAUGACGUCAAGUCCUCAUGGCCUUUAUGACCAGGGCUACACACGUACUACAAUGGCCGAUACAAAGGGCAGCGACACUGCGAGGUGAAGCCAAUCCCGUAAAAUCGGUCUCAGUCCGGAUUGGAGUCUGCAACUCGACUCCAUGAAGUUGGAAUCGCUAGUAAUCGUGUAUCAGCAUGCCACGGUGAAUACGUUCCCGGGCCUU
RNAcentral lists this ribosomal RNA (359 nucleotides) under uncultured Desulfobulbus sp. Its description in RNAcentral is "bacterial SSU rRNA". It matches the Rfam family "Bacterial small subunit ribosomal RNA", at positions 1025 to 1382 of the family's 1533-position model. The record is from RNAcentral. Lineage: Bacteria; Pseudomonadati; Thermodesulfobacteriota; Desulfobulbia; Desulfobulbales; Desulfobulbaceae.